CUCAACCACCAGUAUCUGAUGCCAGAGAACGUGGUGGAGGAGAAGAUCAAGGAGCUGGACCUGAACAUGGUGAUGGCCGAGAUCCGCAGGGAGGGGAGGCCUGGAGCCCAGUGGAGGUACUCAGAGGUUUCCUUCCUGGAGCUUGACAAGUUCUUGGAGGAUGUCAGG
Long non-coding RNA from Neopelma chrysocephalum (saffron-crested tyrant-manakin), 168 nucleotides. RefSeq lists it as uncharacterized. The record is from RefSeq and is a predicted model, not a curated record. The transcript has 3 exons. Lineage: Eukaryota; Metazoa; Chordata; Aves; Passeriformes; Pipridae.